AAAUUGAAGAGUUUGAUCAUGGCUCAGAUUGAACGCUGGCGGCAGGCCUAACACAUGCAAGUCGAACGGUAACAGGAAGCAGCUUGCUGCUUUGCUGACGAGUGGCGGACGGGUGAGUAAUGUCUGGGAAACUGCCUGAUGGAGGGGGAUAACUACUGGAAACGGUGGCUAAUACCGCAUAACGUCGCAAGACCAAAGAGGGGGACCUUCGGGCCUCUUGCCAUCAGAUGUGCCCAGAUGGGAUUAGCUUGUUGGUGAGGUAACGGCUCACCAAGGCGACGAUCCCUAGCUGGUCUGAGAGGAUGACCAGCCACACUGGAACUGAGACACGGUCCAGACUCCUACGGGAGGCAGCAGUGGGGAAUAUUGCACAAUGGGCGCAAGCCUGAUGCAGCCAUGCCGCGUGUAUGAAGAAGGCCUUCGGGUUGUAAAGUACUUUCAGCGGGGAGGAAGGUGUUGUGGUUAAUAACCACAGCAAUUGACGUUACCCGCAGAAGAAGCACCGGCUAACUCCGUGCCAGCAGCCGCGGUAAUACGGAGGGUGCAAGCGUUAAUCGGAAUUACUGGGCGUAAAGCGCACGCAGGCGGUCUGUCAAGUCGGAUGUGAAAUCCCCGGGCUCAACCUGGGAACUGCAUUCGAAACUGGCAGGCUUGAGUCUUGUAGAGGGGGGUAGAAUUCCAGGUGUAGCGGUGAAAUGCGUAGAGAUCUGGAGGAAUACCGGUGGCGAAGGCGGCCCCCUGGACAAAGACUGACGCUCAGGUGCGAAAGCGUGGGGAGCAAACAGGAUUAGAUACCCUGGUAGUCCACGCCGUAAACGAUGUCUACUUGGAGGUUGUGCCCUUGAGGCGUGGCUUCCGGAGCUAACGCGUUAAGUAGACCGCCUGGGGAGUACGGCCGCAAGGUUAAAACUCAAAUGAAUUGACGGGGGCCCGCACAAGCGGUGGAGCAUGUGGUUUAAUUCGAUGCAACGCGAAGAACCUUACCUGGUCUUGACAUCCACAGAACUUUCCAGAGAUGGACUGGUGCCUUCGGGAACUGUGAGACAGGUGCUGCAUGGCUGUCGUCAGCUCGUGUUGUGAAAUGUUGGGUUAAGUCCCGCAACGAGCGCAACCCUUAUCCUUUGUUGCCAGCGGUUAGGCCGGGAACUCAAAGGAGACUGCCAGUGAUAAACUGGAGGAAGGUGGGGAUGACGUCAAGUCAUCAUGGCCCUUACGACCAGGGCUACACACGUGCUACAAUGGCGCAUACAAAGAGAAGCGACCUCGCGAGAGCAAGCGGACCUCAUAAAGUGCGUCGUAGUCCGGAUUGGAGUCUGCAACUCGACUCCAUGAAGUCGGAAUCGCUAGUAAUCGUGGAUCAGAAUGCCACGGUGAAUACGUUCCCGGGCCUUGUACACACCGCCCGUCACACCAUGGGAGUGGGUUGCAAAAGAAGUAGGUAGCUUAACCUUCGGGAGGGCGCUUACCACUUUGUGAUUCAUGACUGGGGUGAAGUCGUAACAAGGUAACCGUAGGGGAACCUGCGGUUGGAUCACCUCCUUA
This 1542-nucleotide ribosomal RNA is filed under the name Salmonella enterica. RNAcentral describes it as "bacterial SSU rRNA". It matches the Rfam family "Bacterial small subunit ribosomal RNA". The record is from RNAcentral. Lineage: Bacteria; Pseudomonadati; Pseudomonadota; Gammaproteobacteria; Enterobacterales; Enterobacteriaceae. RNAcentral also lists the same sequence under 40 other names.